RNAcentral lists this long non-coding RNA (1216 nucleotides) under Cicer arietinum (chickpea). Its description in RNAcentral is "long non-coding RNA (CARI_LNC000842)". Lineage: Eukaryota; Viridiplantae; Streptophyta; Magnoliopsida; Fabales; Fabaceae. The record is from RNAcentral.
UAAGCAAACCAGGAAACGGAUCUUAAACUUCCGAACAAAGCAAUCCUCUCAAGCGAAAUACUCACACUCAUUUCAAACACAAAAUUUUAGCCAAACCAAGAAAAAUACUUCACCCCCAUAAACACACAAAAUUUAACCGAACCACUGAACAAAAACUCAUAUUUUGGUUUAUUUCUAUAUAACAAUAUUAUACAGUUUGAAACAAAAGUAAGAGAAGAUACAUGCCUUUCCGAUGCGGGUGAAGAUGGUGUGCUGUCGUCUCUUUGAUCAGUCUUGUUAAAAUGGGUUUGAAUAUCCUUUAGCUAUGGAUAUGGGUUUGAUGGAUUUGAGUUUGCUGAAUGGGUUUGAUGGAUCUGAGUUUGCUGGAUCUGGGUUCGAUAGAUCUGGGUUUGUUAUGGGUACGAUUUGAACAACUCUAUCUUCUACCUUUCUCGUGUUUACCGAUUUUUUAGAAAAUUCCUCCUCUGUCUCUAUCUUUCUCUUGUGGUAUUUUCUUUUCCUUUUUAUAUGAAAAUUAUUUAUGUGUGAAUGAUAACGUAUCUUUUGAAACAAUAAUGAUAAAAAUAACAUAAAAAAUGAUAUAGAAAUAGGAUAGACCUCACCAUCUAAACUUCCACAAUCAAGAUUUAGGUCAUUUACAGACAAUGUAUGCUAGUUUUUUUUCCCCAAAAAUUAUAUUUGAAUAUCAAAAUGGAAUAUCAAAUAUUGUGUUUAUUUGUUUUGUGGGAUAUUUUUGAAAUCUGUGUACAUAGGAUGCGAAGUAAGUUAGAUAGAAGUAUAAGGUGUCAUAUACAGUGUCCCAAUUCUGAUGUUCAAAUAACACAAUUGUUUAGUCUUUAACGAGUUUUAGAUUUAUAUAGUGCUAUAUUUUAUGGAGUAUUAGUUAACUGAACACGUUAUUCCGUUACUUUCUUCAUGCACAACAUGAUUUUCAUUAUAAGAAUCCAAGUAUAGACUUUGAGUUGUUUUGGACCUUGAUUUGAACUUAUGUGCAGGAUGAGAAGCCAACCAACUGACAGUAAGUUAACAUAAUCUGUUCAGAUGAAGGGGAAACCAUUCCCAUUCCACAGAAGAGCAACUGUUGUGGAUAGCUAGAACUUGUAUAUUUCUCUCUUUUUUAACUGUUAUAGUAAAAUAGUGAGACCCUGUUUUCUGAUACUGCUAAAAUAUCAUCUAUUAAAUCCUUGGAUAAUAUAGUUCUGAAUUUUUUGGCGGC